GGUAUAAAAUCUACCCUCUUUCAUAGCUGCUGCCAUAUGAAAGGCAUGGAAAAACCCACAUAUCUGAGAGAACUAGAGAAAGAAGAUGAUGGGCCUUUUUCAUGUUGGUCCCACUUCAAGCUCUUUAGGAUUCCAUGGCAAAAGAGAGAGAGACAAGGACAAGAGCGUUGCAGGUUCACAAGAGCUGUUUUCUUCAAAACCAGGCAUGCAAAACCAGGUGGUUUCAGAUAUGAUCCUCUCAGCUAUGCUCAGAACUUCGAUGAGGGGUGUUGGGAUGAAGAAGGUGAGAAUCCUAGACGUGGUUUUUCCUCCAGGUUUGCUGUCUGCACGGUGAAACCGCUUCCAGAUCGAUGAAUGGCGGUUUUGGUGCGAACAUCAGUGGUAUUGGGUGAGCGAAAAAUCUAAUAAUCAUGCUGAACGUACAAUAAUGACCAUUGAUUUCUUUAGAUAGAAAAGUGAUCAUUGAAUGGUCGCAUUCAUUUGCGGAUACCAAUGGUCGAGAUCGUCUUUCACUAGGAGUUAUGGAUUAUCCCCAUCCACAACACUGCCCAAAAUAGACGUUUCGCACCUUCCGUCCAUCUGUCUGUUUGGUCUUCGUAGGGAGAAUGAAUGUGUAUUAUUUUUUUCAGCUUUGUAAUAUGUUAUGUAUACCAUACACUUUGAAUGAGAACAUAUUCCCUCC
Molecule: long non-coding RNA, 682 nt
Organism: Magnolia sinica
Lineage: Eukaryota; Viridiplantae; Streptophyta; Magnoliopsida; Magnoliales; Magnoliaceae
Exons: 2
Source: RefSeq, a predicted model, not a curated record